AUUGAACGCUGGCGGCAUGCCUAACACAUGCAAGUCGAACGGAGGUAGGGGCAACUCUACUUCAGUGGCGGACGGGUGAGGAAUGCGUCGGAAUCUACCCUAUGGUGGGGGAUAACACAGGGAAACUUGUGCUAAUACCGCAUAAUGUCGAGAGACCAAAGCAGGGGACCGCAAGGCCUUGCGCGAUAGGAUGAGCCGACGCCCGAUUAGCUAGUUGGUAGGGUAAAGGCCUACCAAGGCGACGAUCGGUAGCUGGUCUGAGAGGAUGAUCAGCCACACUGGGACUGAGACACGGCCCAGACUCCUACGGGAGGCAGCAGUGGGGAAUAUUGGACAAUGGGCGCAAGCCUGAUCCAGCAAUGCCGCGUGUGUGAAGAAGGCCUGCGGGUUGUAAAGCACUUUUGUUCGGGAAGAAAUCAUGCUGGUUAAUACCUGGUAUGGAUGACGGUACCGAAAGAAUAAGCACCGGCUAACUUCGUGCCAGCAGCCGCGGU
This 494-nucleotide ribosomal RNA is filed under the name uncultured bacterium. RNAcentral's name for it is "bacterial SSU rRNA". It matches the Rfam family "Bacterial small subunit ribosomal RNA", at positions 30 to 521 of the family's 1533-position model. The record is from RNAcentral.